UACCGGUUCGCUUUGCGCCCUCCUCCUCCUCCCGCGAACGGGGCUCCGGCGCUCCCACAAUGCACCGGGCGCGGCCGGGCUCCCUUAAGCGUCGCCUGAAUAAAAAUGCCGCUCCCGGCGGCGGAGGGCGGGAGGGCCCGGGCCGCGCCUGGGCGCCGCGGGGGCUCGGCCUGGCUCGGCGGGCCCCUGCCGGGAACGGGGCCGCCGCGCUCCGCCGUGCGCCGCGCGCGAGGGGCCUUUAAGGGCCGGCUACCUCCCUUUAAGAGGCGGCGGGCCGCGGCCGGAGCGGCUCGGUGGCUGCGUGCGGCCCGGGAAGGGGGCGGGGGCGAUGUGCAGGCCCGAGCGCGGCAAUGAUUGGUCUCGGGGGAGGGGUGGGGGGUUGCAAACCCGAGGAGCGGUGGCAUCCGUUGCAUGAUGCAAAAAGGAUUGAUUUCAAAAGUUGCGAGUUGCAUUGGCAGCAGCCUUUGGCGCCCAGGCCACCUACUUUUCCUUGACCCGCUGGAAGGGCCGGGAAUGUUUUCCCGAACCUGCCCGGGCUCAACCGCGCUACGCUCUGCGGGACGCUGUACCUGCUCCCCGAGCGCUCGCGUCGCGUUGUCCUGGAAGACAAUGAGCGUGGAAACAAUUUGAAAAAGACAGGGAGCAGAGGAAAGACCCGGAGCAGUGUAGCCGCCUCUGCUACACUGAAAGAUUUAAAAACAACCGGCGCGAUUGAUUAAUAAUGACUUCCAUGUCUCUUCCCUUCUAUUGUUUAGCCCGGCUCGGGAGUUAAGAUGAGCCUUGAUGAAUAUGCAAACGUCCUGCAGUUUCUGGAACCUUUAAUGUGCUUGGUAGGAAGUCAGAGCUUAAGGUUCCUCAGUUACAUUGUUUGCUCUCCACAUGUCCAAGUAAACAUGGCAGCCUAAUAGCGUAUGGGUUCGAAUUAACACCGAUAGGAGAGCUUCGGCUUGUGAAAUUACUUUUUCCAGGUUUUCAACUUCCUAAUGCACUGCUGGUUGAAAUAAAGCGAAAAUGCUUUCGUACUGCAUCACUUAGGGCUUCCCUUAAAACCGAGGAGUGUGGAGGAACGCCAACCAAACUUUUCCAGAGUGGUGCAGCGUUGUCCAAAUGUAUUUCUGAGCAGAACUGUUGUUGGUAACCGAACGGUGCUUUAGGUUGCGCGUCAGCUUUGCGGGCUGCGCAGAUGCCUUUUUAAUUCUUUAAAAUUUCUGCUUGACAUUCCCCCAGGGUUUUUAUCUAAGUGAGGAUCCAAAAAGUGAUGCAACCUAGAAGACCAGGUUGAUAGCAGCUUCUCCACGCUGUGUCCUUUCUCUGUACUACCGUAAGUUAGGAAAGAAUGUGGUCGCCUGGGUUCUUUAAUGUGAUUUAUGGACUCUUGUAAGAAUGGCAUCACCUUGUGGUUGACAAACCUGCAUUUGCCUCUGAAUCACCUGGGAAGACAGGUCCACACAACCCCAGGCAACACUCCAGACUCCGGCAUCAAGGAAGAAGGGUAGAUAUCUUUAUUCCCCUCCUCCCUUCCCUUUUAAAAUUGAUUUUGUAACUUGUUGUGGGGUUUUGGUUUUGUGUGUUUGUUUUUUAGCAAAAAAAGUCACAACUAGAAAAAAAUAAUUGGGGCGAUUAGGAGGAAGAUGAUGCAACAGAAGUGAGUAGGGCCCUCUGUGAAGAUGCCUGGGUCACGCCAGGGAGUUUAGUAUUUUUGCUGUAAUCAGCAGAGCUUAUCAGAUUUGCUUUUUACAAGUUUAGCUUGUAAUGGGGGCUGUACCACAUCUGGGAGGAUGCCCUCUCCUGGAGGGGAAACCAGGACCACAUCUCCAGUUAGCAGGUAAUUGUGCUAGUCAAGCAUGGAGUCAAGGAUAUUGGAACUGAAGCAGUGGGAAAGCAGACAAGGAAAGGGAUUUGAGGUGAGUUCAUGUGUGGUUGGAGAAAGAAGCAUAAGAUGACCCCCACGUUUCUCGCUUGGGGGCCCUGGGUGGGAGGUGAUGCUACCAACUGAAAUAGGAACUGCUGAAAGACAAACAAGUUUUGGGGUGAGUUCCGGUUUGGAAAUGUUAAAUUUCAGGGGCCUCCCAGAUAUUCUAGGCAGAAGGCAGUUGGUAAAACUAGGUCUGGCGCCUGGGAUGGGGGUGAGCUCUGACUUUGAGAUGCAAAUGUGGGUGCCAUCAGCAUAUAAAUGGACUUUGACGCCUCGGAAAGUGGUGAGACGAACCAGGAGGGAGAGAGUUCAGGAAAAAAGUGAAAGAGACCUUGGACAGAGCCCUGCGGAGCUCCAAAAUGGGAUGGCUGGGCCAGCGAGCGAGAGGCUGACUGCUGCUGGGUCUGUGGGAGGUUAGCAUGCUCAGAAUCAUUCCUCCCCCAGCCCUGGGGGCUGCAGCUCCAGAACAACUUUAGUCAUAGUCUCCUGAGUGGAGGCUAUAGAUUCUUGGCUAAGCCACAAACACCUGGAUUCAUCUGGAGCUAGUCUGCAACUUUGCGGCUGGAUAUCCCACCAGAUCUCUGUCUCUCCCUUCCUUUGUUAUAAACGCCAGCCUCACUCUGUGCUUCCCUUUGUUGCCUUCUUUCUCCUGCCAUCCUUUCCAUGAGCCUUCCCCAGCGGCCUCAUCAGAGCCCCAUUCCAUUGGGAACCAUCUCCCCUGAGUUCUCAGGUCCUCCUGGCUCCACUUGAAAGAUGGUUCCCCUGGGUUGAAUUACUUGCUGGAGGUUUGUUAAAAAUACAAAUUCACCAGCCCCACUCCAAAGAUUAUAUCCAGCAGGUGUAAUGGGUUGAAUUAUGAUAAAGAUUCUUUGCUUGACCAAACUUUAGUCGGGCUCCUGAAACUUCUCCUAGGCCCAACUGUACACUUCCUUGUAAAAUCCAGUUUUGGCAAGAUGGGUAUCUGAUCACCUGGCCUGCCUUCAGCAAGAGUCCUGGUAGGUCGGUUUAGACAGGAUCCCCCUCAGCCCUGAUGUCUCUUAGUCCUUUCCCAUCCACUGACCGCCAACCUGCUCCUUGGCUGCAAAUUCCCACUUGCCCAUGCUGUAUUCAGAGUUGAGCAUAGUCUCUCUCCCCCACUGCAAAAUUCCAGCACAGUGGCCCUAUACUUAUUGCAAUAGUCCUGAAUAAAGUCUGCCUUACCAUCUUUAACAAGUGUGACAAAUAGUUUUUUCUUUAAUAAUUGUGCCCCCCUCCUACCCCCCCCCCAAAAAAGAUAUGUUGAAGUCCUAACCUCGAGUACCUAUGAAUGGGGCCUUAUUUGGAAAGAAGAUCCUUGCAGAUGUAAUCAAGUUAAGAUGAAGUCAUACUGGAUUAGGAUGGGCCCUAAAUCCAAUGAGCUAUAACAAAAGGAAGAUUUGGAGACAGAGACCCAGGGAAGAAGGCCACAUGAAGAUGAGGCAGAGAUUGGAGUCAGGCAGCUACAAGCCAAGGAACACCGAGGAUUACUGGCGACCACCAGAAGUAGGAAGAUACCCUCCCAGAAACAUCAGAGAGGCCAUGGCCCUGCCAACACCUUGAUUUGUGACUUCCGGCCUGCUGAGCUGUGAGAGAAUACAUUUCUGUUGUUUUACGCCACCCAGUCUGUGGUAUGUGUUACAGCAGCCACAGGAAACCAAUAUAGCGUGUCUGAGGUGUACGUUGGGGGACGAGGUGCUAAGAAUCCAUGCUUUGGAUGGGCUCACCUGGUGGUGGUGGUGCUUUAGGGGAACACUGCACUAAAGAAUGCUGCUUUCUCAGAAACCCAGAGGGCAGGAGGCUGCCCGUUCAUCUGCUUCCCACGUUCUGCUAGCUUCGGUGACGUUACUUUCCCUCUGUCCUGCCUUUCUCAUGUCCCGCCUGUCUUUCGGGUUCUUGCUAUCCAGCGUUACACCAUCUGAUGCCACACUGGUCACUUCCUUACGUUGUUUGAGUCAUGCUCAUUCAGAUAUGGCCCCUGAUCUGUGAUCAUGGGGGGUGGUGGGAGUGUCCAAUCAGAGCUAAGACCCGGUGGGCAAUGGACACAUCAUAUUAUUAAAUUUAGCUUUACUCCACAUAAGCUGCCCAUUCUCGUGGCUAUACUGUGAACCUCCUCAUUCCUAGAAAUCUUAAACACCAACAUCCUGUCUUCAAUCCUAUAGUCCUCUCAUUGCUUUACUCCCUGACACCUGCACAUCAACUGCAUAGUGGCCGCCAGUCUCUCUCCUUCCAUCCAGCCUGGAUCCCUUGGUCAGCUCAGCAGCCUGGUCCCCUGCACCUCCCCUUCUUUGACCACACCCACCCACAAACAUGCAGCCUUAGGUCCCUCCCACCUGCCAUGUUCUCUGCCCUUUUGCUGGGCUGGAGAAAACGUAGAACUUGGAGACCAUGCCAUUACAGAUGUGUGAUCUCCAGUGCCACCUGGGCCUUUCUGACAGCUGGAAAAUCCUUAAGUAUGUUAUUCCUAAUGUUCGUUAUUCUCCCCGAAGUUUAUACCACAGUUUACUGCCCUCAGUGGCAGAUGCAUCUCAAGAAGAAAAUGUACACCAUGGGAGGGAGCCUCCAACUUUCCCAUACCGUUCCCAUCCCACCCCUUGGACCAGCACGCCAGUGUCUGGGAGGGAGGACCACUUCUGAAUGUCCAAGGCUGGUCCCCUGCCUGUGCUCCAGCUGCCACCCUUCCAACAAUAGCUAACUUUUGUUGAGGACUUGCUACGUAUCUACGUAUGUAUCCCACUGUACAGAGUGUUUUCUGACCAUCACCUCUUAGAAUUCUGGCAACAUCCCCUUGAGGUAAGUCCUAUUGUAUAUUUUCCUUUCCUGGAGGAAAGCAGGGCUCAGACUGAUUAAGCAGCUUGCCCAAAGUCACUGUCUUACUUUGGGUCCCCCCCCCCAACCCGGGCAGAACUGGAGACAAGGACUUGGGGGAAGGAAGUCUUCAGAAGGUAGUUUCAGGAAGCACAAGUCAAGAAGUGGGCAAAAUAAGACAGGAAAGGGAGAAAGCCAAAAAGCAUGUAAAUGAUUAGGUUAGCACAGUGGGUAGUGGGGCUCAGCCCUGUUGGCGCCUCUCUCAGAAACUGUGUGGAACCCCCUCUGGUUGGCGGAAUAAUGCACCUCCUGCCCCCAGAAGAUUGUCUAUGUCCCAUUCCCCGGAACCUGUGAAUAUAUUAUGUUCCAAGGUAAAGAGGAAUUGAGUUUGCUAAUCAGUUAACCUUAAGGAGAUUAUUCUGGGUUAUAUGGGUGGGCCCAGUGUAUCCACAAGCGUCCUUAAAAGUGGAAGAGGGAAUAGAGAACAGAGCGAUGUCAGCCUGAGAAGGAUCUGGCCCGACAUCGCCGGCUUUGAAGAUGGAGGAAGGGGCAUGAAUCAAAGAAAACAGGAGCCUUCUGGAAGCUGGAAAAGGUAAGGAAACAGCUUCUCCUCUAGAGCCUCCACAAGGAAUGACCCCUGCUGGUACCUUGGUCUUGGCCCAGUGAGAUCCGUGUCAGAUUCUGAUCCGCAAAACUGUCAGAUUGUAAAUGUGUGUUGUUUCAAACUGCAAAGUUUGUGGUAAUUUGUCCCAGCAGCAAUAGAAAACGAAUACAUCUCCUUAAAAUCACGCCACUGGCAGGCUGGAAGGCUGAGGCACUCAUCCAUGGACUCUCAUCUUUCAUUGGCUGAGGGUUGCCCCUGGGGCAGUGGACGGAGACUCAGAACUUCCUGCCCUGGAGAAGCAGCCCUGGAGGACCAGGCAGGCAGGUGAUGGAGGUGGAACACUGCCAGUGGGCUGGAAACUCUCCCCAACGCUUCAGGUGAAACCAGAAGCAGGCUGGGCAUUGAUGGUGUCGACAGCCUCUGCCACAGGGCCCAGCUGUAAGCAGUCAAGCCAGGAUUGGAACGGGGUUAAGUGUGGAGCCCACGUGCCUAGCCUAGGACUUCCCUGUGGCAUUUGAGGCCAGUAAGUACUCACUCUUCUUUUUGCAAUUCUCUGGGUUUGAUGUUAGCUCUUCCCUCAUUUUCCUCCUAACCUCUGACUACUGAAUCUUUUUGCAUCCCUCCUCUUUCACUGUCCUUGCCCCCUAGUCACAUGCCCCCAAGACUGAGGUCCAUCAGGUUUGUCUUCGACUUUCUUCGUGGGCUCUUCCUACUUCUUACGUUACUCGUGGCUUCUAGCGUCAAGCUGUCCAGUGCAGCCACUCUCUUGGUGUGGCUGUGGAGUGCUUGGGUUGUCCAAAUCGAGACAUGCUCUAAAUGUAAAAGAUGCACUGGAUUUUGAAGACUUGAAAAGAAUGUAAAAUACCUCAAUGUUUUUUGUAUUGAUUCAUGUUGAAAUAUAAUACUUCGGAUGUGUUGGGUUAUAUAAAAUAUAUUGUUGACUUCAUCUGUUUCUUUUUACCUUCUUUUUGAUGUGGUCACUUGAACGUUUAAAGUGACAUAGGAGGCUCAAGGGCUAUUUCUACUAGACAGUGCUAUUCCGGAGGACUCCCCCAUCCCCAGAGCCCCAGACACAGACAUUCACCACUUAGGUGGCUCUCGUUGCCUCUGGCUCCACUUUUCCAGUUGCGGUUCUCACUCAUGGGUGUGCACGGAUGAUCGUAGGUGGUAUGUGGAAGAACAUUAAUUUGUAUAGUCACAUGUUCGUUGUAACACACAUUGAGAAGAUUUAACUGACAUAUAAAACCUGUGAUUUCAUGGACAUUAUUAUUUAGGACAAAAAGGGAGUCAACUUAAAGAAAAAUUUAAAGAAACAAGAGCACAGCCUAAAGUGAUAGCAUUGGUCAAGUAAAUAAUAGCUACAGGAUAAAUUUCAGAAAAAUACAAACAACCUGCAUGAUCCAGCUUCUCCUUUUCCUCUCUGAUCUGAUCUCCGGAAGGUGCCCGCUUUCUCUUCUUCAGCCACACAGCCAUACUGAGUGCAUCCACACCCCCAGGCUCACCUGCUCUUUCUCCACUUUGCGUCUUGGCAAGCACCAUAUCUUUGCUUGUACCACCUCGUCUCCCUUUCUGGCAAAGGAAAACCAAACUUGUAAGAUUCUGCUCCAAGAGCCUUCCCUCUGAAGAGUUCUCUGGCUACUUCGGGGGAACAACCACCCCAUCUGUGGUAGGCAGAAUAAUGGCCCCUCAAAGAUGUCCACAUCCUAAUCACCCAUGAAUAUGUUACCUUGCGCGGCAAAAGGGACUUUGCAGAUGUGACUAAGUUAAGGAGUUUUUGAUGAGAAGAUUAUCCUGCAUUAUCUGGGUGAACAAGUGCAACCACCAGCAUCUUUUUAAGGAAAAAAGGAAGACAAGAGGAUAGAAAGAGAUGUGACAAAGGAAGCAGAGGUCAGAGUGAACUGGGGCCACCAGCCAAGGAAUGUGGGCAGCUUCCAGAAACUGGAAAAGGCAAGGAAAUGGAUUCUGCCCAAGAGACUCCAGAAGGAACACAGCCCUGCCAACCCAUUUUGGUCCUCGUCGUGGAACCUAUCCUGCUGAUUUGCAGUUCUUAUUCCAUAUAACUAAUCUCUCCUCCACAAUUCCACCCCUCCUCCAGAAGCCAUGAGCUCCUUGUAGAGACUGUGUCAUGUGUAUCUUUGCGGUAGGAAUGGCAGGAGAGUGGUAUUCUGGAAUUUGGGGACAAAGAAUUUAAGAAGGUAGGAGGAGUCAACAUUGUCAAGUACUACAGAAAAGUGAGGCAAGAUAAGGACCGAAAAUAGAUCAUUGGAUUUAAGAGGUCCCUAGUGGCCUUGGGAGAAGAUACUCACAUGCAGACGCCAGAGUGGAAGAUGAUGUAGUGGGCUGAUGAGUGAGUGGGAGUUGAAGAAGUGGAGAUAAUGAGCAUAAACACCUCUUUUAAGAGAUGUGUUGGAGAAGAAGAAGAGAGGACAUUCACCUGAGAGGGAAGAGAAGGAGUUUGUUUUUUAGAACCUCAAAAUCUUGGAGAGGUAUGUACGCCAAAGCGAAGCAGUCAAAGCAGAAGAGACUAAAGAUAUGAGAAUGGGAAGUGACAGGGAGAUGAAGAUCCAAAAGACAGGGAGGAGGAGAGGGAUUCUGGCGUGCGGACCGAGGCAGAAGAGGAAGCGAGGACGGGGGCUCUGGGAGGGCCAGUGGGAGAAGUCAGGGAGAAGAAACCAAAGGGUCCCCACU
RNAcentral lists this long non-coding RNA (8030 nucleotides) under Equus caballus (horse). RNAcentral describes it as "lncRNA (ENSECAG00000045941.1)". Lineage: Eukaryota; Metazoa; Chordata; Mammalia; Perissodactyla; Equidae. The record is from RNAcentral.